UUACGGCCAUAUCACGUUGAAACAUCGGUUCUUGUAUGAUCAUCGACGUUAAGAAACGUUGAGCCUAGUCAGUACGUAGAUGGGUGAACGAUUGGUAAUAUCAGGUGCUGUAA
Non-coding RNA from Acanthosepion pharaonis, 113 nucleotides. NCBI's taxonomy places the organism in Eukaryota, Metazoa, Mollusca, Cephalopoda, Sepiida, Sepiidae. The record is from the annotation of a GenBank genome assembly.